UGGCUCAGAUUGAACGCUAGCGGGAUGCCUUACACAUGCAAGUCGAACGGCAGCACGGACUUCGGUCUGGUGGCGAGUGGCGAACGGGUGAGUAAUGUAUCGGAACGUGCCUAGUAGCGGGGGAUAACUACGCGAAAGCGUAGCUAAUACCGCAUACGCCCUACGGGGGAAAGCAGGGGAUCGCAAGACCUUGCACUAUUAGAGCGGCCGAUAUCGGAUUAGCUAGUUGGUGGGGUAACGGCUCACCAAGGCGACGAUCCGUAGCUGGUUUGAGAGGACGACCAGCCACACUGGGACUGAGACACGGCCCAGACUCCUACGGGAGGCAGCAGUGGGGAAUUUUGGACAAUGGGGGAAACCCUGAUCCAGCCAUCCCGCGUGUGCGAUGAAGGCCUUCGGGUUGUAAAGCACUUUUGGCAGGAAAGAAACGUCAUGGGUUAAUACCCCGUGAAACUGACGGUACCUGCAGAAUAAGCACCGGCUAACUACGUGCCAGCAGCCGCGGUAAUACGUAGGGUGCAAGCGUUAAUCGGAAUUACUGGGCGUAAAGCGUGCGCAGGCGGUUCGGAAAGAAAGAUGUGAAAUCCCAGAGCUUAACUUUGGAACUGCAUUUUUAACUACCGAGCUAGAGUGUGUCAGAGGGAGGUGGAAUUCCGCGUGUAGCAGUGAAAAUGCGUAGAUAUGCGGAGGAACACCGAUGGCGAAGGCAGCCUCC
This 715-nucleotide ribosomal RNA is filed under the name Achromobacter sp. 110602_136_C_G11. RNAcentral's name for it is "bacterial SSU rRNA". It matches the Rfam family "Bacterial small subunit ribosomal RNA", at positions 20 to 729 of the family's 1533-position model. Lineage: Bacteria; Pseudomonadati; Pseudomonadota; Betaproteobacteria; Burkholderiales; Alcaligenaceae. The record is from RNAcentral.